UCAGGAUGAACGCUAGCGGCAGGCUAACACAUGCAAGUCGAGGGGCGAGCGGGAUGUAGCAAUACAUUGCCGGCGACCGGCGGAUGGGUGCGUAACGCGUAUGCAACCUACCUUAUACAGGGGAAUAACCUUUCGAAAGGGAGACUAACACCCCAUAGUAUUGAUUUAAGGCAUCUUAGAUUAAUUAAAUAUUUAUAGGUAUAAGAUGGGCAUGCGUAUGAUUAGCUAGUUGGUAAGGUAACGGCUUACCAAGGCGACGAUCAUUAGGGGUUCUGAGAGGAAGGUCCCCCACACUGGUACUGAGACACGGACCAGACUCCUACGGGAGGCAGCAGUGAGGAAUAUUGGUCAAUGGGCGCAAGCCUGAACCAGCCAUGCCGCGUGCAAGGAAGACGGCCUUAUGGGUUGUAAACUGCUUUACAUAAGACUAACCGUAUAUUUGCGAAUAUACCUGAAUGUAUUAUGAGAAUAAGGAUCGGCUAACUCCGUGCCAGCCGCCGC
RNAcentral lists this ribosomal RNA (501 nucleotides) under uncultured bacterium. RNAcentral's name for it is "bacterial SSU rRNA". It matches the Rfam family "Bacterial small subunit ribosomal RNA", at positions 24 to 518 of the family's 1533-position model. The record is from RNAcentral.